GAGUAAUGUAAGGCAUUGCUAGAACAAUUGUGGUUAUAGCAAUGUACCAACUCUAGAAGCUACUGAGGUACCAUUCUGUCCUGGUACAGUU
This 91-nucleotide small nucleolar RNA is filed under the name Mus pahari (shrew mouse). RNAcentral describes it as "snoRNA (MGP_PahariEiJ_G0034474.1)". Lineage: Eukaryota; Metazoa; Chordata; Mammalia; Rodentia; Muridae. The record is from RNAcentral.